RNAcentral lists this ribosomal RNA (1468 nucleotides) under Lacticaseibacillus casei. RNAcentral describes it as "bacterial SSU rRNA". It matches the Rfam family "Bacterial small subunit ribosomal RNA". The record is from RNAcentral. Lineage: Bacteria; Bacillati; Bacillota; Bacilli; Lactobacillales; Lactobacillaceae.
CAUACGCGUGCCUAUACAUGCAGUCGAACGAGUUCUUGUUGAUGAUCGGUGCUUGCACCGAGAUUCAACAUGGAACGAGUGGCGGACGGGUGAGUAACACGUGGGUAACCUGCCCUUAAGUGGGGGAUAACAUUUGGAAACAGAUGCUAAUACCGCAUAGAUCCAAGAACCGCAUGGUUCUUGGCUGAAAGAUGGCGUAAGCUAUCGCUUUUGGAUGGACCCGCGGCGUAUUAGCUAGUUGGUGAGGUAAUGGCUCACCAAGGCGAUGAUACGUAGCCGAACUGAGAGGUUGAUCGGCCACAUUGGGACUGAGACACGGCCCAAACUCCUACGGGAGGCAGCAGUAGGGAAUCUUCCACAAUGGACGCAAGUCUGAUGGAGCAACGCCGCGUGAGUGAAGAAGGCUUUCGGGUCGUAAAACUCUGUUGUUGGAGAAGAAUGGUCGGCAGAGUAACUGUUGUCGGCGUGACGGUAUCCAACCAGAAAGCCACGGCUAACUACGUGCCAGCAGCCGCGGUAAUACGUAGGUGGCAAGCGUUAUCCGGAUUUAUUGGGCGUAAAGCGAGCGCAGGCGGUUUUUUAAGUCUGAUGUGAAAGCCCUCGGCUUAACCGAGGAAGCGCAUCGGAAACUGGGAAACUUGAGUGCAGAAGAGGACAGUGGAACUCCAUGUGUAGCGGUGAAAUGCGUAGAUAUAUGGAAGAACACCAGUGGCGAAGGCGGCUGUCUGGUCUGUAACUGACGCUGAGGCUCGAAAGCAUGGGUAGCGAACAGGAUUAGAUACCCUGGUAGUCCAUGCCGUAAACGAUGAAUGCUAGGUGUUGGAGGGUUUCCGCCCUUCAGUGCCGCAGCUAACGCAUUAAGCAUUCCGCCUGGGGAGUACGACCGCAAGGUUGAAACUCAAAGGAAUUGACGGGGGCCCGCACAAGCGGUGGAGCAUGUGGUUUAAUUCGAAGCAACGCGAAGAACCUUACCAGGUCUUGACAUCUUUUGAUCACCUGAGAGAUCAGGUUUCCCCUUCGGGGGCAAAAUGACAGGUGGUGCAUGGUUGUCGUCAGCUCGUGUCGUGAGAUGUUGGGUUAAGUCCCGCAACGAGCGCAACCCUUAUGACUAGUUGCCAGCAUUUAGUUGGGCACUCUAGUAAGACUGCCGGUGACAAACCGGAGGAAGGUGGGGAUGACGUCAAAUCAUCAUGCCCCUUAUGACCUGGGCUACACACGUGCUACAAUGGAUGGUACAACGAGUUGCGAGACCGCGAGGUCAAGCUAAUCUCUUAAAGCCAUUCUCAGUUCGGACUGUAGGCUGCAACUCGCCUACACGAAGUCGGAAUCGCUAGUAAUCGCGGAUCAGCACGCCGCGGUGAAUACGUUCCCGGGCCUUGUACACACCGCCCGUCACACCAUGAGAGUUUGUAACACCCGAAGCCGGUGGCGUAACCCUUUUAGGGAGCGAGCCGUCUAAGGUGAACAA